RNAcentral lists this ribosomal RNA (2220 nucleotides) under Klebsiella quasipneumoniae. Its description in RNAcentral is "23S ribosomal RNA". It matches the Rfam family "Bacterial large subunit ribosomal RNA", at positions 399 to 2839 of the family's 2925-position model. The record is from RNAcentral. Lineage: Bacteria; Pseudomonadati; Pseudomonadota; Gammaproteobacteria; Enterobacterales; Enterobacteriaceae.
GUGAACUCGAAGAGUAGGGCGGGACACGUGGUAUCCUGUCUGAAUAUGGGGGGACCAUCCUCCAAGGCUAAAUACUCCUGACUGACCGAUAGUGAACCAGUACCGUGAGGGAAAGGCGAAAAGAACCCCGGCGAGGGGAGUGAAAAAGAACCUGAAACCGUGUACGUACAAGCAGUGGGAGCACCUUCGGGUGUGACUGCGUACCUUUUGUAUAAUGGGUCAGCGACUUAUAUUCUGUAGCAAGGUUAACCGUAUAGGGGAGCCGCAGGGAAACCGAGUCUUAACUGGGCGUUAAGUUGCAGGGUAUAGACCCGAAACCCGGUGAUCUAGCCAUGGGCAGGUUGAAGGUUGGGUAACACUAACUGGAGGACCGAACCGACUAAUGUUGAAAAAUUAGCGGAUGACUUGUGGCUGGGGGUGAAAGGCCAAUCAAACCGGGAGAUAGCUGGUUCUCCCCGAAAGCUAUUUAGGUAGCGCCUCGUGAANNNNNNNNNNNNNNUCAUCUUCGGGGGUAGAGCACUGUUUCGGCUAGGGGGUCAUCCCGACUUACCAACCCGAUGCAAACUACGAAUACCGAAGAAUGUUAUCACGGGAGACACACGGCGGGUGCUAACGUCCGUCGUGAAGAGGGAAACAACCCAGACCGCCAGCUAAGGUCCCAAAGUCAUGGUUAAGUGGGAAACGAUGUGGGAAGGCACAGACAGCCAGGAUGUUGGCUUAGAAGCAGCCAUCAUUUAAAGAAAGCGUAAUAGCUCACUGGUCGAGUCGGCCUGCGCGGAAGAUGUAACGGGGCUAAACCAUGCACCGAAGCUGCGGCAGCGACACUAUGUGUUGUUGGGUAGGGGAGCGUUCUGUAAGCCUGCGAAGGUGACCUGUGAGGGUUGCUGGAGGUAUCAGAAGUGCGAAUGCUGACAUAAGUAACGAUAAAGCGGGUGAAAAGCCCGCUCGCCGGAAGACCAAGGGUUCCUGUCCAACGUUAAUCGGGGCAGGGUGAGUCGACCCCUAAGGCGAGGCCGAAAGGCGUAGUCGAUGGGAAACAGGUUAAUAUUCCUGUACUUGGUGUUACUGCGAAGGGGGGACGGAGAAGGCUAUGUUAGCCGGGCGACGGUUGUCCCGGUUUAAGCAUGUAGGCUGNUGGAGCUGAGACCAGUCGAAGAUACCAGCUGGCUGCAACUGUUUAUUAAAAACACAGCACUGUGCAAACACGAAAGUGGACGUAUACGGUGUGACGCCUGCCCGGUGCCGGAAGGUUAAUUGAUGGGGUUAUCCGUAAGGAGAAGCUCUUGAUCGAAGCCCCGGUAAACGGCGGCCGUAACUAUAACGGUCCUAAGGUAGCGAAAUUCCUUGUCGGGUAAGUUCCGACCUGCACGAAUGGCGUAAUGAUGGCCAGGCUGUCUCCACCCGAGACUCAGUGAAAUUGAACUCGCUGUGAAGAUGCAGUGUACCCGCGGCAAGACGGAAAGACCCCGUGAACCUUUACUAUAGCUUGACACUGAACAUUGAGCCUUGAUGUGUAGGAUAGGUGGGAGGCUUUGAAGCGUGGACGCCAGUCUGCGUGGAGCCAACCUUGAAAUACCACCCUUUAAUGUUUGAUGUUCUAACGUUGGCCCCUUAUCGGGGUUGCGGACAGUGUCUGGUGGGUAGUUUGACUGGGGCGGUCUCCUCCCAAAGCGUAACGGAGGAGCACGAAGGUUAGCUAAUCCUGGUCGGACAUCAGGAGGUUAGUGCAAUGGCAUAAGCUAGCUUGACUGCGAGCGUGACGGCGCGAGCAGGUGCGAAAGCAGGUCAUAGUGAUCCGGUGGUUCUGAAUGGAAGGGCCAUCGCUCAACGGAUAAAAGGUACUCCGGGGAUAACAGGCUGAUACCGCCCAAGAGUUCAUAUCGACGGCGGUGUUUGGCACCUCGAUGUCGGCUCAUCACAUCCUGGGGCUGAAGUAGGUCCCAAGGGUAUGGCUGUUCGCCAUUUAAAGUGGUACGCGAGCUGGGUUUAGAACGUCGUGAGACAGUUCGGUCCCUAUCUGCCGUGGGCGCUGGAGAAUUGAGGGGGGCUGCUCCUAGUACGAGAGGACCGGAGUGGACGCAUCACUGGUGUUCGGGUUGUCAUGCCAAUGGCACUGCCCGGUAGCUAAAUGCGGAAGAGAUAAGUGCUGAAAGCAUCUAAGCACGAAACUUGCCCCGAGAUGAGUUCUCCCUGAGACUUUAAGUCUCCUGAAGGAACGUU